CCUUCAGUGUUUUCCCAUUAACACCCUGUUCCACGGACGGCACUUCAUAGUUUUCAAAGCCCUUUCAAUAUAUCUGUAGCUUUUCUUCUGGGCACUCUAGCUCACACGCUGUCCUGCUCACCGGCGCUGGUUUAGACCUGUCAGAUUCUUGAGCUGAUACAGGGAAGAAAACAAUGAUGAGGCCUUGUCCUGUCCCUAAGACUCCAAUGGGAAAGAUUGGGAUUUUCAAGGUGGCAGGCACAGCUAAGACCCACACAUCUGACACACCAGGGACCCAGGUGCCAGCGAUGUUUUUUAACGAGGUGGGGGCGGGGGGGUGCGCAGAAGAGGUAGGGAAUUCAGGAUCAGAGACUGGGGGUGAACCACUGCCAGUGUUAUUAGUAGCUUUCUGGUUUUGACGCAUGUUCUAAGGAUUACAGGGCAGGAGUGGAACAGGAGGGCAGGCCUGAGCAAAGCAGUACUCACCGUCACUGCUGCACCCAUAAGUCCUUGCACCAGUGCCUCUCCAGUGGACUUUACCUAGAAGAGUCAAGGUCAGGUUCUCUUAAGACCCCAACACAAGCUCAAAGGUGAAACAGGUAGGACAAAUCAGGAGGGGCUCAUGAGGACCCUGCGGACUGGAGGAAAAGCCUAUGAACAGAACCAAAAAUGGCCCAAGUGUGGCUCUCAGGGAAGGGCUGGUAUGAGGAAGAGCCAGGCCAACUCCCAGGACUGGCCCUCAGGACUGUCCUUUGAGGCCAAAGUAGUGCAAGAGAACAGACAAGUGAGUAGCCAUGGCCUAAGGAGGGUGGUGUGCCUAGUGAGGAGGCUUCCCAAAGGGCCAGCCCCAACUACCUGCUUGGCAGUGUGGCCCAUGUUCAUUGCGUCAUUAAUCCGGUUUUCCAGGAAGCGCCAAGUGUCCUCGAAGUCUGGGGACGAGUCCUGCAUCAUCACCAGCUCUGUCGUGUUGUAGAUGCCAGCCAGCACGGCUCGGCGGGUGUACCAGUUAAACUGCAAAGGAACCCAGCCAGGAAGGUUUUAUUUAUUCAUGAGAGACAGAGAGAAGCAGAGACAUAGGCAGAGGGAGAAGCAGGCUUCCCACAGGAGCCCGAUGUGGGAAUCGAUCCCAGGAUCACGACCUGAGCCAAAGGCAGAUGCUCAACCACUGAGCCACCCAGGUGCCCAUGUCCUCUCGUUCCUGAUGUGCUCUGACUCCAUUUUCUUAACUAAGAGAAUGGCCCAAACUGUGACGUGCUUUGCAAUAAAAAAGAGGAAGUUUCAGAAAAGGGGAUAAAAAAAGCCCUCAGAACGAAUACUCCAACUCUCAAGCAUCCCACUGACAAGUGGCAAAGACCUCCCACUCCUCUGCCAUCCAGAACAUAUCAGGCUUGUUAAUGUUGAAGGCCAAUAAAACCUUCUCAUUUUCUAA
This is a long non-coding RNA of Canis lupus familiaris (dog), 1408 nucleotides long. RefSeq lists it as uncharacterized. NCBI's taxonomy places the organism in Eukaryota, Metazoa, Chordata, Mammalia, Carnivora, Canidae. The record is from RefSeq and is a predicted model, not a curated record. The transcript is spliced from 2 exons.